CAGAGGAAGGAGCCCUGCCUGGAGAUCCAAGAGCGCUAGUCGUGGCCUUGGCAGAGAUGGUUCCUUCAUCCUACCCGUGCCAACGGGCACAGUGCUGGGGGCCGAGUGUGCGGAGGUGAACAAACAGGCCAGCCUCUGUCUCCGGGAGCUGGGGCUCUAGUGCCCUCGAGGACAGCAAACAAAUUGGUUACACUGGCUAAUAACUUAUUGGAGAUCACAACUCCCUCUGCUGAGUUGACUCUUUACAACCAGCAAGAGUAGAGUAGAUCUGUUGACUCUUGCGCAUGGUGGAAGAUUCUAGAAUUCUAUUUUCUUGUGGUAACUGCAGCUGUUCAAAGACCAUCUCACCUCUCUGUGACCUUGACAGUAGAGACAGGAGGACAUCAACCACCUUCUUCUCACCUGGAAAGACAACUCUUAGUCCCUUUCCUCCCAUUUGGGUUUACUUUUAUCCCCGUAAUGCAGCCAGGCACGUAUGUCCCCUUAGCUCGGGGGCUUUGUGCUUACAAGUCAAAGGGGAAAUUGCCAGGCGGCCACUAGACAGCUGUCUGUCCCAUCGUUGGCUUCUGAAAGCCUGGGCUCUUUGAGAGGAAUGACGUUGGAUCUUCAGUGAGGGAGAGGAUGGAGGAGAGUAUUUUGAGAGGCAGAAGUCAUCGCACGCAGAGCAGAGGGAGGUCAGAUUCCGAAAGGACAGUGUUGGGCUGGAGCGCGUCUGCGUUUGCUGCCGCAGCCCCUCUGUGGGGAAUUGGGAGGCCC
This 756-nucleotide long non-coding RNA is filed under the name Equus caballus (horse). RNAcentral describes it as "lncRNA (ENSECAG00000060107.1)". Lineage: Eukaryota; Metazoa; Chordata; Mammalia; Perissodactyla; Equidae. The record is from RNAcentral.